UCCGAGUUGACCCCGGCAGUCUCCCAUGAGUCCCCACCAUAACGUGCUGGCAACACAGGAUAAGGGUUGCGCUCGUUGCGGGACUUAACCCAACAUCUCACGACACGAGCUGACGACAACCAUGCACCACCUGUAACCCAGCCCCGAAGGGAGGCCACAUCUCUGCAGCUUUCUAGGCUAUGUCAAAUCCAGGUAAGGUUCUUCGCGUUGCAUCGAAUUAAGCCGCAUGCUCCGCCGCUUGUGCGGGCCCCCGUCAAUUCCUUUGAGUUUUAGCCUUGCGGCCGUACUCCCCAGGCGGGGCGCUUAAAGCGUUAGCUACGGCACAGAGACCGUGAAUAAGUCCCCACACCUAGCGCCCAACGUUUACAGCAUGGACUAC
RNAcentral lists this unclassified non-coding RNA (379 nucleotides) under uncultured Actinomycetes bacterium. RNAcentral describes it as "uncultured actinobacterium contains 16S-23S intergenic spacer region". Lineage: Bacteria; Bacillati; Actinomycetota; Actinomycetes. The record is from RNAcentral.